Molecule: ribosomal RNA, 119 nt
Filed under: Pelobates cultripes (western spadefoot toad)
Lineage: Eukaryota; Metazoa; Chordata; Amphibia; Anura; Pelobatidae
Source: RNAcentral
UCCUACGGUCAUACCACCCUGAACACGCCCGAUCUCGUCUGAUCUCGGAAGCUAAGCAGGGUCGGGCCUGGUUAGUACUUAGAUGGGAGACCGCCUGGGAAUACCAGGUGUUGUAGGUU